This 476-nucleotide ribosomal RNA is filed under the name uncultured Oscillospiraceae bacterium. Its description in RNAcentral is "bacterial SSU rRNA". It matches the Rfam family "Bacterial small subunit ribosomal RNA", at positions 39 to 507 of the family's 1533-position model. The record is from RNAcentral. Lineage: Bacteria; Bacillati; Bacillota; Clostridia; Eubacteriales; Oscillospiraceae.
GCUGCGCGUGCCUAUACAUGCAAGUCGAACGGAGAUAUUCGCUUGAUGAAGUACUUCGGUAAUGAAUCUUGGAUAUCUUAGUGCGGACGGGUGAGUAACGCGUGAGCAACCUGCCUUUCAGAGGGGGAUAACGUUUGGAAACGAACGCUAAUACCGCAUGACAUUAUCUUAUCGCAUGGUAGGAUAAUCAAAGGAGCAAUCCGCUGAAAGAUGGGCUCGCGUCCGAUUAGGUAGUUGGUGGGGUAACGGCCCACCAAGCCGACGAUCGGUAGCCGGACUGAGAGGUUGGACGGCCACAUUGGGACUGAGACACGGCCCAGACUCCUACGGGAGGCAGCAGUAAGGGAUAUUGGUCAAUGGGGGAAACCCUGAACCAGCAACGCCGCGUGAGGGAAGACGGUUUUCGGAUUGUAAACCUCUGGUCCUCUGUGAAGAUGAUGACGGUAGCAGAGGAGGAAGCUCCGGCUAACUACGUG